Molecule: non-coding RNA, 102 nt
Organism: Notechis scutatus (mainland tiger snake)
Lineage: Eukaryota; Metazoa; Chordata; Lepidosauria; Squamata; Elapidae
Source: RefSeq, a predicted model, not a curated record
CUUGCAAGGAGAGGGAGUGGGCCUCCCUCUGACCUACACACUUUGCCCUUCUGCACACACUAUGAGCAACCCGGCCAAGGAGAUCAAGAACAGAAACAGCAG